Molecule: ribosomal RNA, 512 nt
Filed under: uncultured bacterium
Lineage: Bacteria
Description: partial 16S ribosomal RNA
Rfam family: Bacterial small subunit ribosomal RNA
Source: RNAcentral
GACGAACGCUGGCGGCGUGCCUAAUACAUGCAAGUCGAGCGAAUCAAUAGGAGCUUGCUCCUGUUGAUUAGCGGCGGACGGGUGAGUAACACGUGGGCAACCUGCCUGUAAGACUGGAAUAACACCGGGAAACCGGUGCUAAUACCGGAUAAUCCUUUUCCUCUCAUGAGGGAAAGCUGAAAGUCGGUUUCGGCUGACACUUACAGAUGGGCCCGGGGCGCAUUAGCUAGUUGGUGAGGUAACGGCUCACCAAGGCGACGAUGCGUAGCCGACCUGAGAGGGUGAUCGGCCACACUGGGACUGAGACACGGCCCAGACUCCUACGGGAGGCAGCAGUAGGGAAUCUUCCACAAUGGACGAAAGUCUGAUGGAGCAACGCCGCGUGAGCGAUGAAGGCCUUCGGGUCGUAAAGCUCUGUUGUUAGGGAAGAACAAGUACCGGAGUAACUGCCGGUACCUUGACGGUACCUAACCAGAAAGCCACGGCUAACUACGUGCCAGCAGCCGCCGUAA